Molecule: non-coding RNA, 71 nt
Filed under: Schistosoma mansoni
Lineage: Eukaryota; Metazoa; Platyhelminthes; Trematoda; Strigeidida; Schistosomatidae
Source: RNAcentral
CUUCUAACUCCGCCUGUAGCUCCUCAGGGGGCUACUGCCGAUCCUAAGCCCGGAUAAAGGAGGAGGGUUAG